This 798-nucleotide long non-coding RNA is filed under the name Numida meleagris (helmeted guineafowl). RNAcentral describes it as "lncRNA (ENSNMEG00000007305.1)". Lineage: Eukaryota; Metazoa; Chordata; Aves; Galliformes; Numididae. The record is from RNAcentral.
UCCAACCACCAACCCAUCCUCAUCAUGCCCACUAACCCUGUCCCUCCGUGCCACAUCUACACAGUUCUUGAACACCUCCAGGGAUGGUGCCUCCCUGGGCAGCCCGUUCCAAUACUUUACCACCCUUUCUGGGAAGAAGUUUUUCCUAAUAUCCAACCUGAAUCUCCCCUGCAACUUGAGACCAUUCCCUCUCAUCCUAUCACUGUUUCCUGGGAGCAGAGGCCAACCCCCACCUCACUACAACUUCCUUUGAGGCAGUUUUAGAGAACGAUAAAGUCUCCCCUGAGCCUCCUCUUCUCCGGACUGAACAAUCCCAGUUCCCUCAGCCACUCCCCAUAAGACGUGUAUUCACUGUGCAGCUGAUCCAUUUCCUUCCCCCAUUUCCAAAAAGAUAUUGAGAGACUGACCUCCUGAGCUCCGAAAAUGACCACUGAUGGAAAAGUGAGGCCUUGGCAGCAGUGGGGCUGGGGCUUCCUGCAUAGAGGUGACAUCAGGAUCUGUCUGAUUCCUAGUUAUCCCCUUUGGAGCUUUCAGCAGUAUCAGAUGGUAGGAGCAGAAAUGUUCUUAGCACUGCUUGGAAAACACCCUCAGCCCAUGAUCUUCAUUGGAACACUCCUCUGUCAGAGCAAGAGCUGGAGAGGAUGGCACAUGAGAGGCAUACGUGGGGAAAAAAUCUAUUUUCUUUUUUUAAUUCAGCACUUUGACCUGAAACAUCCAGGACUCAUUUUUAGUAACAAACCCCAGACUAUUAGCCCUGCCAUUUUUCCACUGCUGGAAGAAGACGUGGACUCUUGCUGA